This is a ribosomal RNA of 286 nucleotides. It matches the Rfam family "Eukaryotic small subunit ribosomal RNA", at positions 632 to 919 of the family's 1831-position model.
CUCAGGUGUGAGUUGACGGUACAGUCUUUUUGUACUGUAACUGUUCAUUCUCCACCUUCAUUGAGUUGUUGAUGCUCUGUAGUGGUCUUCAUUGAUUGUUGCAGAGUGCACAGCACGUUUACUUUGAAAAAAUUAGAGUGCUCAAAGCAGGCCGCUUGUGCUUGAAUAGUCUUGCAUGGAAUAAUGGAAGAGGACUUCGGUUCUAUUUUGUUGGUUUUCGGUUCCGAGGUAAUGAUUAAAAGAGACUGACGUGGGCAUUUGUAUGGUGGUGUUAGAGGUGAAAUUC